AGCAGAACGCAGCGGGCAUGA
Molecule: microRNA, 21 nt
Filed under: Mus musculus (house mouse)
Lineage: Eukaryota; Metazoa; Chordata; Mammalia; Rodentia; Muridae
Description: mmu-miR-6899-5p
Source: miRBase by way of RNAcentral